GACGAACGCUGACGGCGUGCUUAACACAUGCAAGUCGAACGGAAAGGCCCCCUUGUGGGGUACUCGAGUGGCGAACGGGUGAGUAACACGUGAGUAACCUACCCUUGACUUUGGGAUAACUUCAGGAAACUGGGGCUAAUACCGGAUAGGAGCUCCUGCUGCAUGGUGGGGGUGGGGAAGUUUCGGCGGUUGGGGAUGGACUCGCGGCUUAUCAGCUUGUUGGUGGGGUAGUGGCUCACCAAGGCUUUGACGGGUAGCCGGCCUGAGAGGGUGACCGGCCACAUUGGGACUGAGAUACGGCCCAGACUCCUACGGGAGGCAGAAGUGGGGAAUAUUGCACAAUGGGCGGAAGCCUGAUGCAGCAACGCCGCGUGCGGGAUGACGGCCUUCGGGUUGUAAACCGCUUUCGCCUGUGACGAAGCGUGAGUGACGGUAAUGGGUAAAGAAGCACCGGCUAACUACGUG
RNAcentral lists this ribosomal RNA (465 nucleotides) under uncultured bacterium. RNAcentral describes it as "partial 16S ribosomal RNA". It matches the Rfam family "Bacterial small subunit ribosomal RNA", at positions 28 to 507 of the family's 1533-position model. The record is from RNAcentral.